RNAcentral lists this ribosomal RNA (659 nucleotides) under uncultured bacterium. Its description in RNAcentral is "bacterial SSU rRNA". It matches the Rfam family "Bacterial small subunit ribosomal RNA", at positions 99 to 772 of the family's 1533-position model. The record is from RNAcentral.
CGGACGGGUGAGUAAUGCGUGAGCAACCUGCCCUUCAGGGGGGGACAACAGUUGGAAACGACUGCUAAUACCGCAUAAUGUAUCCGGGAGGCAUCUUUUGGAUACCAAAGGAGAAAUCCGCUGAUGGAUGGGCUCACGUCUGAUUAGCUAGUUGGUGAGGUAACGGCUCACCAAGGCUGCGAUCAGUAGCCGGACUGAGAGGUUGAACGGCCACAUUGGGACUGAGAUACGGCCCAGACUCCUACGGGAGGCAGCAGUGGGGAAUAUUGGGCAAUGGGCGAAAGCCUGACCCAGCAACGCCGCGUGAAGGAAGAAGGCCUUCGGGUUGUAAACUUCUUUUAAGAGGGACGAAGAAGUGACGGUACCUCUUGAAUAAGCCACGGCUAACUACGUGCCAGCAGCCGCGGUAAUACGUAGGUGGCGAGCGUUAUCCGGAUUUACUGGGUGUAAAGGGCGCGUAGGCGGGAAUGCAAGUCAGAUGUGAAAUCCAAGGGCUCAACCCUUGAACUGCAUUUGAAACUGUAUUUCUUGAGUGUCGGAGAGGUUGACGGAAUUCCUAGUGUAGCGGUGAAAUGCGUAGAUAUUAGGAGGAACACCAGUGGCGAAGGCGGUCAACUGGACGAUAACUGACGCUGAGGCGCGAAAGCGUGGGGAGCAAA